This is a long non-coding RNA of Eucalyptus grandis, 373 nucleotides long. RefSeq lists it as uncharacterized. The transcript has 4 exons. Lineage: Eukaryota; Viridiplantae; Streptophyta; Magnoliopsida; Myrtales; Myrtaceae. The record is from RefSeq and is a predicted model, not a curated record.
CUUUCGGGCGAUGAACUUUUGGGACCAAGUGAUGCCUAUAGAAGAGGCCAUGGAGGCCGUCUGGACCAGGGGCCUUGGAAGGACCCAGUUGAAAGGAUGUUUCAUUUGUAAUAUUCUGAAGUUGUUGCUUGAGUUGCAUAAUACGUUGCCCGGCAUUACUGAAGCGAGAUCGACUCAGUGUAGUGAGCUUAUGAGAUACUGCCUGUAAUUUAGAGGGCAGAUAAUGAGAGUGCAAGACAAGUGGGCAGUGAUCAGAACCGAUCGAUGGUAAGGCGAAGACCAUGGAAGAUGGAUAAGUAAAAUUCCAAUCCGAAGAGCAAAAAGCAUGAUCCAGCUUCUCCUUCACUAGCUCAUCCCCAUCUCGAUUGUUUGA